UUUUUCUAAGAACAAAGAUGAUCCCCCUCUUGGUGGCUCCUAGAGUAUUAAAACAUAGGUUUAGAAAAUAAAAACGUGCAUAAUGAAAUGACCAAAAGGCCCUUGAGAAAUCACAAGUUCGAGUAGAAAUAAAACGCGCAGCGACCUCAGCCCGUCGCUCCGACAAGUCGCUCUAGGCUUCGGGAGCGACCUCGCUGUGUCGCUGCGAGAGGUCGCUCCGGGUUCGUUCUCGCGUCUCUGGGUGAUGAAACCGCGAGCGACUUCUCCCUGUCGCUCCCAUAACGUCGCUCUCAGCUGGAGCGACCUCGCUGUGUCGCUCCGAGAGGUCGCUCCGGGCUCGUUCUCGCGUCUCCGGGUGAUGAAACCGCGAGCGACUUCUCCCUGUCGCUC
RNAcentral lists this long non-coding RNA (390 nucleotides) under Brassica napus (rape). RNAcentral's name for it is "long non-coding RNA (BNAP_LNC009816)". Lineage: Eukaryota; Viridiplantae; Streptophyta; Magnoliopsida; Brassicales; Brassicaceae. The record is from RNAcentral.